RNAcentral lists this ribosomal RNA (441 nucleotides) under uncultured bacterium. RNAcentral's name for it is "partial 16S ribosomal RNA". It matches the Rfam family "Bacterial small subunit ribosomal RNA", at positions 338 to 795 of the family's 1533-position model. The record is from RNAcentral.
CCUACGGGUGGCAGCAGUGGGGGAUAUUGCACAAUGGGGGGAACCCUGAUGCAGCGACGCCGCGUGGGUGAAGGAGUGCUUCGGCAUGUAAAGCCCUAUCGGCAGGGACGAAGCAAGACGGUACCUGACUAAGAAGCCCCGGCUAAAUACGUGCCAGGAGCCGCGGUAAAACGUAGGGGGCGAGCGUUAUCCGGAUUCACGGGGGGUAAAGGGAGCGUAGACGGGCGUGCAAGCCAGGGGUGAAAGCCCGGGGCCCAACCCCGGGACGGCCCUUGGGACUGGAUGGCUGGAGUGCGGGGGGGGCAGGCGGAAUUCCUGGUGUAGCGGUGAAAUGCGUAGAUAUCAGGAGGAACACCGGCGGCGAAGGCGGCCUGCUGGACCGCGACUGACGUUGAGGCUCGAAAGCGUGGGGAGCGAACAGGAUUAGAUACCCUUGUAGUC